AGAGUUUGAUCAUAGGCUCAGGAUGAACGCUAGCUGGUGAUGCCUAACGCAUGCAAGUCGAACGGGAUCCUUUGGAUUCGUCUGAAGGUGAGAGUGGCGGACGGGUGAGUAUCGCGUUGGUGACCUACCCCAGAGAGGGGGACAACCAUUGGAAACGAUGGCUAAUACCCCGGAUGUCAUUGUGUUUAGAAAGCAAUGACUGAAGCUCCGGCGCUCUGGGAGUGGGCCUGCGUCCCAUCAGCUAGUUAGGUAGUGGUAAUGGCCUACCAAGGCAAAGACGGGUAGGGGGCGUGAGAGCGUGACCCCCCACACUGGUACUGAAACACGGACCAGAUACCUACGGGUAGCAGCAGCGAGGAAUAUUGCCCAAUGGACGAAAGUCUGAGGCAGCAACACCGCGUGGAGGACGAAGGCCUUCGGGUUGUAAACUCCUUUUCUAGGGGGAAGAGAAAGGACGGUACCCCAGGAAUAAGGCCCGGCUAACUACGUGCCAAGCAGCACGCGGUAAAACGUAGGGGUCACGCGUUAUCCGGAUAUUACUGGGCGUAAAAGCGCAUGUAGGC
This 563-nucleotide ribosomal RNA is filed under the name uncultured bacterium. RNAcentral describes it as "bacterial SSU rRNA". It matches the Rfam family "Bacterial small subunit ribosomal RNA", at positions 8 to 576 of the family's 1533-position model. The record is from RNAcentral.